CCUUAGAAGAUCCAAGAAGAAGGAAGGUGUAGCAUUGGUAUUCUCUUCGAAUGGCAUUAGCAGGAGUGGGUGGGUAUCAUUGGUAACCGAGCUUGGCAAUUGGUGGCUAUGAAUACCUGCUCGUGAUUUUUCCCCCUUCAGGGGAGGGAGUUCAAGCAUAGGGAAGGGUUGGGGAUCGGGUUUCCAACUGGUUGGGAUUUAUCGGCUUCGGGUUCGGGUUCUGUAUAGGACUCGGCUUGUUUUUGACUGUCCUUGAUAUACUCUCCUUAUAACACACCAAUGCUGACCCGAAUAAGUUCACACAAUCCCCAAAUUGACAACCCGAUCCGUUGCCACAAGAAUACUACCUGGAAAGUGGACACAUUUUUCAUUCCUGCGGUGAGCAAAGUCUUUUCUAGAGUAACUGAGACCAAAGCUUCUUCCCUUCUCUUGAUGACAUGGGAGCCAGAGGAGUUGUCGGGGACAAGUGGUCCAUGAGAAUUCUUUGGGCUUGUGCUCUUGGAAGUGCUGCUGGCCUAUAUAUGGUUGCUGUAGACAGACAGAAGAAGAAUAGGGAGAAGAUCCUAGCCGAAGCUCUGAACAUGGAAUUAGGGGAAAACACUGGCAAAGAUGCCUGAACUACAACAUGAUUUUGCCCCCCCAAAAAAAGAAAAUAAAUAAAAAAAGAAAAAGAAAAACUGUGUUAUCAUGCAGCCUAACAGAUGCAGAAUUGCCAGUCUUUUUUCUAAAAGUACCUUUUGAUGCAUAAGGUUUCUGCAUUCAUCUUUUUUUUUUUUUUCCCAAAGAUAGGAAACUCGAACCCGCAACCUCUUAGAUGAGUAUGGGAAGACUAUGCCAUUUGAGCUAUAACUCAUUGGCUUCUGCAUUCAUCUUUUGUCCUUUUAUUGGCAAGAUAAUCAAAUAGUUUAUUAAAUUUUAGAUGUGGCA
Arachis ipaensis is the source of this 927-nucleotide non-coding RNA. Lineage: Eukaryota; Viridiplantae; Streptophyta; Magnoliopsida; Fabales; Fabaceae. The record is from RefSeq and is a predicted model, not a curated record.